RNAcentral lists this non-coding RNA (31 nucleotides) under Rattus norvegicus (Norway rat). Lineage: Eukaryota; Metazoa; Chordata; Mammalia; Rodentia; Muridae. The record is from RNAcentral.
UACGAUUCUCAGGAUAUGAUAAUUGGACCUG